AAAAAAACAAACCCUGGGUUUCCGUGUCCAACGUUUGACUGUCCGUCUUAUAUGAAAUUUUUUUAUAAUUAGUAUUUUCAUUGUUGUUAGAUGAUAAAACAUGAUUAAUACUUUAUGCGUGACUUGUCUUUUUUAAAUUUUUUAUAAUUUUUUCAAAUAAGACGGACGGUCAAACGUUGGACACGGAAACCUAGGGUUUGUCUUUUU
RNAcentral lists this microRNA precursor (207 nucleotides) under Oryza glumipatula. Its description in RNAcentral is "MIR812 microRNA precursor family". It matches the Rfam family "MIR812 microRNA precursor family". Lineage: Eukaryota; Viridiplantae; Streptophyta; Magnoliopsida; Poales; Poaceae. The record is from Rfam by way of RNAcentral.